AAGGCGCGCUCGCCCCACCCUCGCGCGGCUGCGGCCUCGCGCGGGCGCUAACGGCCGCUUCCCGCGGCCCCCGGUAGGUCGGUUGUAGCGGCGGGAGGGGCCCUGCUGCGGCGCCGCUYCCCGGCCUCGCUUCCCCUUCCGCCAGCCGCGGGGCGGCCCUGCGCGCGCGCUCCGCCGUUAACGGUCGCUAACGGUCGCUGCCGCGCGGCGCGGGCCUGUGAGGCCCAGGGGCUCUCCGGCGUCCUUUCGCCUUGUCCUCCGCUCAGAGCGCCUUUGCUGGGGCUAGGGGGAAGGAGCCUCCGCUAAAGCACAAGCGAGCGCUUCCAGCCUGCCUCAAGUGCGUCUCCUGCCUUCUGCCCCAGCAGGCGUGCUCGCAGCAGGCUGUGAAGCCCGGCCUGGCUGUAGCACGCUGCCCCUUUGCUGCGGAAAAGCUUAGCGUCUUGCAGCGCACUUUACUAACUUCAGUUCCGUACCACAUUUUUGUUUGAUUCAAAUCUCCUGUGGAGGCAAGAGUAACCAAGUUGCCUGCGGUUAUGCAAAAAGAAUAAGAACAAGAGUCAGAAUUAACUUUCAGAAAUCUUAAUACCACCUCUUCUUAGCCCAUUCCAGUCUUUUCAUGUGUAUGUGGGGUGCCAUCAGAUGAUUCACCUUCAAGUAGCAUCAGUAAAAAUUCUCUUGGAUGGUUUCAAAGGAGAACCUGAAUUUGGUGAUUGUCCAGGCAGGCUGCAGAAGUUAUGGAUUUGUACAUGCUGUAAGAUUGAGAUGUGUUUUCUGUAAUUCUGCAGAGUUGGAGAGGAGCUGGAUUAGCUUUUGGAUUUCACUUCUGGUGUUCUGUGUAUGCUACCACUACAGAAUUCCUAUUACAGCACCUUUUCUUCAUGUCACUCCCAAAACAUAGACAUUAUAAUUAGGUGUCUGCAUUUUAAUGAGCACUUGUAGCUGUAUGUAAAUACUUUAAAAUCACAGUAUAGCAGAGUUCUAAAAGUGUUAAGGGUUUUUUAUUUUGUGCUAUGUAAGAUGGAUGUGUUUUUAAUAUGGUAGAAAAGCUAGUACUUUCCUGGGCAGUAUGACAAUAUUAUAUAUGAAUUAAAGCUACUUCUGAAUUGUCUGCUCAAGUUCCACUGUGACCGCUCAGUGUUUAUUAAAUAAUUUAUUGAUAACAUCUUGAAAUCUGCCUGUGAUAAAAUAUUCAUGUACCUAAUACAGUAUUUUCAUGCUAAAACAGCAGUGAUGACUGGCCAUGUAAAAUACUUUUAGUAAACUCUUUUAAUCUAAAAUAAGUCUAGUAUUUCUAAUCACUUAGUAAUUAUUUAAAAUUUUAAUUUUCCAGAGGAUGAAAUUAUGUCCUAGCCCUGCUGUAAAAAUUGUUUUUAUAGGCAUUUACUUCAUAUGAUUUAAAAUGAAGUCCUAGAUAAUGAUUUUGCAUUUGAGUGUUUAAUUACUGAUGUCAAUACAUAAACAUCAUAACUCUACUCAGAUAAUAAUUAAACUUAAACUGGUAGUAAAGGAAGUUUAGCUUCCUGGAAAUUUUAUCUGAAACUUUUCAGUACAAACUGAACUCCACUACAAGUCUGCAUCUACUACAUGUUUGGAAGUAUCAAUAUCAGAAAUGAAACAAUUUAGUUUUAUAUAAGAAAGUUGGGCAAUAGGUAAUUUCCAUUUUUAUGCUGUGUACAUUUAGUUUUAUGGGCUUUGAAGAGUAAAGUGGUGUUUAUUCUUUUACUAGUUAGAAAAACUAUUUUGAUCUUUAGUUAUUUUUAAAUUCAUAAGAAAAGGCCUAAUACAGUUUUUGGCAUUUGCUAAUAUUUAGCAUUACAUUUAUUGCACAAACCACAUUGUUUAAAGUCA
Long non-coding RNA from Apteryx rowi (Okarito brown kiwi), 1848 nucleotides. The record is from Ensembl. NCBI's taxonomy places the organism in Eukaryota, Metazoa, Chordata, Aves, Apterygiformes, Apterygidae.